Caenorhabditis elegans is the source of this 21-nucleotide non-coding RNA. Lineage: Eukaryota; Metazoa; Nematoda; Chromadorea; Rhabditida; Rhabditidae. The record is from Ensembl.
UAUUCCGAUUUCUUUUCAUCA